This 81-nucleotide ribosomal RNA is filed under the name Bacteroidales bacterium. RNAcentral describes it as "partial 16S ribosomal RNA". It matches the Rfam family "Bacterial small subunit ribosomal RNA", at positions 1453 to 1533 of the family's 1533-position model. Lineage: Bacteria; Pseudomonadati; Bacteroidota; Bacteroidia; Bacteroidales. The record is from RNAcentral.
CGGCCAAGGGCGAAACAGGUAAUUUGGGCUAAUUCGUAACAAGGUAGCCCUACCGGAAGGUGUGGCUGGAACACCUCCUUU